AGAGCGUCCGGGACAAGCGCUCUCUUUCGAACCUUUGGCAUCUUCAGGGAUGGACUCCUACAACUGAGGGAGACUGAGGGAGACUGAGGGAGACUGAGGGAGACUGAGGUCUUGGGCGUGAGCAAGAGAGGAAGAGCGUGCUGGAAUCGACCAGCUGCAAACCUUCUCAGAGAGGGCUCCCGCGCUCCACACCUCUCCCAGUUGUGGUUUACACCCCACUGACCUCUCUCAUCAGACCCGCGUCUCCAUCACCAGAACCCUCAGAUAACUUUUCUCAGUGCGUCUGAAAAUUCGGGGAAAGGCUCUCAAGCAGCUUACCGAACACACCACCACCAGCACCCCUCACAAACUGAGCCCAGAACAUUCCUGAAGAAAGGAUGCUGCUGGUCUCCCAGACCUUCCUGUUCAAAACCAUAAGUUGAAAACACUCUGUAAUGUGCUGCAAAAUCUUACGUUUUGGACAUCUUCAUCAAAUAGUAUGCAGCAGUAGUGGUACACAUAUCUUGGCAGUAACCAACGGUCCUUGGAUUGGAUUUAAGACAUGCUCGACAAGAGGGAAAGUAUGCUGUGUACUAGAAAACUAACUAACUGCCCAGAGCUUGGAUCUUAAAGAACCUACAAGUCACCAUUUUACUGAACCAGCACAAUGAGACAAGUGACUAAUCUACCUACGGCUCUGCUGGCACACCCAGAUGUCCUGAAACUUUCCCGAGUGUGUUCUGAGCAGCCACUUGGAAUCAGUCAGAGUCCGCCUACCAUGUGAGACCUGUCUGCCUCACCUGUAAUUGGGAUGAAGCCUCCUUAUACCAGAUAUAGGACUCCCUGAAGCAUGUCCUGCGAGGCCAGUCUAGUAGAGUUGGCCAUAAAGAAUCGCUGUGACCGAGCCUUGUAUGGUCACUGUCCUCAUUCCAAAGAUACAUGCCCAGGGGAAGGAAUGUGGCACAGCAGGGCCCAGCCAGUCUGUUCAGUGACAUCUCCAUAAGAAACCUCAAGGUCCCUCCCUUGCCCGGUCAUCAUCAGAGUCAUCAUCAUUCCUCCUGCAGCAGAUGUGAACAAACACAGACAACCACAGCCCGACCCUGUGCAGAAACGCCUGCCCCUGGCUCAGCGCCCGGUGCCAACAGAACACCUUCAGGAUUCACAGCAACGCAGAAACCAUGUCCAGGACCCCGGCCUCUGCUUGGAACGGAACGGUGUCAUGGCGGAGACAACGGCCUUUGUCUUGCUGGGUGUGAAAACAUCCGCCGUGCUGGCUCCUCCACUGCGGCAGAAUCAAGUUUAAAUGAAAAAAGUGAUUAAAGUCAGCUUUGUGCUUCUUUGGUGUGGAAGACCCCAAAACCCCAAGUAGCCGACUCCCAGGGUCCAAGGAAGGGCUCAUAGUUGGAGCAGCUUGGGCUGUAAUCCUGGCACUUGCGCCUGGCGUUGCUGCUUGCUGUUCGCUCCUGGGGGUCUGGAUAAUCUCCCUUGGCUUUACCGCACUGUCUGGCCCGCAUACAGGGCCCGGUAACAUAUACCCGCUGCUGCUAUCACACGAAACUGUGGCGUUGCCCCUGAAUGGAUGGCACCGUGCCAACUCUUCUGCCAUCCGCCCUUGCAGCUUUUUUUUUUCUUUCCUCCCGCCCUCCCCUUCUUCUCCUCCUCCCGUCGACUUGACGUUAAUUAACACACGGGUUAAUUGAUUUUAAAAGCCGAAGAAUUACAGUUAACUUUUCCCACAGGGUACAGACGCCAGCCGCUUGGCACACUCUGCCUUCCGCACUGGUGCAGGGGGGCAGGGAAAGCCCGCAGCAAAACUAGCAACUGCUGAGGGAACGUUGUCUGCUUAUUGGAGUAGAGCGAUAGAAGUCAGCGUGGCACUGCCUCAUCCUGUACAGUAUAUGGAGCCAUCAUAGAUUUUGUCAAAUAAUCAAACACAACCCCGUCUUUCCUCUUCCCUACUAGACAACCCCUUCAGAAGUUCUUCUAGAGAUGAGAUAAGCCCCUCCCAAGACCGCUUCUAUCCUCCCUAAAAUGUUUCUUUUCUAGGAAUAAGAAAAUGAUGGUGCCUUUGAGAUUUUUUUUUUUUUUUGAAUUGCUGUGUCUCAGUUUCACAAAGGAAGGGUGGGCACCCCCUACCAUAAACAGCACAAGUUCUUAAAGUUCUUCUCCGUGUCUGUUUUAUUUUGCUUCCACUCCUCUUGGCCAGAUGAGGUUAUUUUGGGUAAUGGAUUUCAGUGAGAAAGUACAAUAGUAUAAUUAAGAGCAAAACUCCUAGCCAGGCUUUGUUAUUUUGUAUGUGUGUGUGUAUCUUUGUUGCCCACCCGCUUUCCCAGAGCCUCUGUCCAAAAUAAAAGCAGUUUGCUCUUGCGGUUGGGAAGGAGUGAGGUGAGGCUGGGAACCAGUGCUCUCACCUUUUCAUGCUUGCCUUCUAUUUCAUUUUGGGUUUUUUUGUUGUUGUUGUUGUUGUUGGUUUUUUUUUUUUUUUUUUAAAAAAAAAAAAAAGAGCACACAGCAAGUGAAGCGACAAGAGGAAUCCAUUAUGCAAAUCAUGUCACUUUGCAUAAUGUCUCAUGACUGGAAUAUGCAAAUGAGCUGUAUAAUUUAUGAGUGCCAGUGUCUGUCUAAAAGUGUUUCACAUAAUUUACAAAGUGAGCUUGAGACAGAGUGGACACAGCUCCGUCCAAGUCCUUUGCCAGGAAAAGCUGCCUUUUCCAGUAAAUGCCAUUCAUGCUUUCAGCAGGAGCUGUGUAAGAGAUCCCAAGUGUUCAAGAAAGGCAAGGAACUCUCCCCUGCCUAAAAGUUUGCAAGAUACUUCAACUCUAGUGGCCCGGUUCUUAGAUUCCAGCACAACUGCUAGAUUCCAUCUGGGGAAGAAACUGGUAAAGCCAAAUGUGGCAUUUGUAUGUAGGCUUUCUUUUGGGGACGCAGGAAUAUCUGAGAGGUGUGCGCACCCUACUCUCCGUGUCUGGGUAUAGGAAGGCAGGAGAACAGGAGUUUGCAUUCCACUUGGCUUUAUGUGUUCUGUUGUAGGCAGCAUUUUAUGAACUAUAGGCUCUUAAACAUUGGACACUGAUAUACAAGGCCUAGAAUGCAGUUGUCUUAUGAAGAUAGAAGGUGACCUUAAAGAUGCCUUCAAAGGAGAACUUGCUCAAACCUAGAAUUGAGUAGUCACAUUAGGUGAUCACUCGCCAUCAGUCUUGUUAAAAAGUAUACUUUUGAGAAGAUGACUCAACUCUUUGAGAAGUUGUAACACCUUUAAUAAUCUGAUAUAACCUGGCCGUAUAUUUUCAUUAUUAUGACAAAGACCAUAGAGAUACCAGGCAAUCGUGGCAGUGCAUAUCUGAGGACCUGAUCCUUGGCAGGCAUGCCAAAAAGAUUUCCUGAUGAAGAUGAGCCCAAGUCGGCUCUGAGAGUUGAAGAGAAACCAAACAAAAACAACAGGGAAGUGAUUCUCACAGAGAAGCUCUGACCAGCAAAUAUCUACAUUCAUUUGCUAGUGUCUGAUCGCUUAGAUUGUAUGUAUUUUAUACAAUUUAGCCCAUAAUGAAAACUACAAUUAACAACUAUUAAAACACUUUCUAUAUAAGAUCUCGAAUCACUCAAAACUCACACACUGAAAUGUCAAAGUUCCGGAUGUGGUCCCAUGUGAUGCAUUUCUUCUUUUAACAAUCAUUUAAGAAAAUAACUGGGAGUCUGGAGCGGGGGGGGGGGGGAAGCUGUGGUUGGGUUGUAAUAUAUGAG
RNAcentral lists this long non-coding RNA (3720 nucleotides) under Mus pahari (shrew mouse). Its description in RNAcentral is "RIKEN cDNA D030068K23 gene (MGP_PahariEiJ_G0005184.1)". Lineage: Eukaryota; Metazoa; Chordata; Mammalia; Rodentia; Muridae. The record is from RNAcentral.